RNAcentral lists this transfer RNA (72 nucleotides) under Styracaster yapensis. Its description in RNAcentral is "tRNA-Met". Lineage: Eukaryota; Metazoa; Echinodermata; Asteroidea; Paxillosida; Porcellanasteridae. The record is from RNAcentral.
AGUAAAGUAAGCUAAUAACAAGCUUUUGGGUUCAUACCCCAUGAAUGGAAGGAUAGAUACCUCUCUUUAUUU